UGGGAGCUUUGUGAGGUGACAAAGCAAAG
This 29-nucleotide non-coding RNA is filed under the name Mus musculus (house mouse). Lineage: Eukaryota; Metazoa; Chordata; Mammalia; Rodentia; Muridae. The record is from RNAcentral.